AUACGUAGGGGGCAAGCGUUGUCCGGAUUUACUGGGUGUAAAGGGCGCGCAGGCGGAAUGGAAAGUCAGUGGUGAAAUCCUACAGCUUAACUGUAGAACUGCCUUUGAUACUUUCAUUCUUGAGUUCGGGAGAGAGGGACGGAAUUCCAGGUGUAGUGGUGAAAUACGUAGAUAUCUGGAAGAACACCAGUUGCGAAGGCGGUCUCUUGGUCCGAUACUGACGCUGAGGCGCGAAAGCGUAGGGAGCAAACAGGAUUAGAUACCCUGGUAGUCCACGCUGUAAACGAUGAAUACUAGGUGUUGGGUUUUUAACUCAGUGCCGCAGCUAACGCAUUAAGUAUUCCACCUGGGAAGUACGAUCGCAAGGUUGAA
This 372-nucleotide ribosomal RNA is filed under the name uncultured bacterium. Its description in RNAcentral is "bacterial SSU rRNA". It matches the Rfam family "Bacterial small subunit ribosomal RNA", at positions 523 to 898 of the family's 1533-position model. The record is from RNAcentral.